This 119-nucleotide ribosomal RNA is filed under the name Pseudoalteromonas porphyrae. RNAcentral describes it as "partial 16S ribosomal RNA". It matches the Rfam family "Bacterial small subunit ribosomal RNA", at positions 1420 to 1533 of the family's 1533-position model. Lineage: Bacteria; Pseudomonadati; Pseudomonadota; Gammaproteobacteria; Alteromonadales; Pseudoalteromonadaceae. The record is from RNAcentral.
CCAGAAGUAGAUAGUCUAACCCUCGGGAGGACGUUUACCACGGAGUGAUUCAUGACUGGGGUGAAGUCGUAACAAGGUAGCCCUAGGGGAACCUGGGGCUGGAUCACCUCCUUAUACGA